RNAcentral lists this non-coding RNA (526 nucleotides) under Lupinus angustifolius (narrow-leaved blue lupine). Its description in RNAcentral is "rRNA SSU_rRNA_eukarya". It matches the Rfam family "Eukaryotic small subunit ribosomal RNA", at positions 1118 to 1647 of the family's 1831-position model. Lineage: Eukaryota; Viridiplantae; Streptophyta; Magnoliopsida; Fabales; Fabaceae. The record is from Rfam by way of RNAcentral.
GGGGAGUAUGGUCGCAAGGCUGAAACUUAAAGGAAUUGACGGAAGGGCACCACCAGGAGUGGAGCCUGCGGCUUAAUUUGACUCAACAUGGGGAAACUUACCAGGUCCAGACAUAGUAAGGAUUGACAGACUGAGAGCUCUUUCUUGAUUCUAUGGGUGGUGGUGCAUGGUCGUUCUUAGUUGGUGGAGCGAUUUGUCUGGUUAAUUCUGUUAACGAACGAUACCUCAGCCUCCUAACUACUAUGUGGAGGUAACCCUCCACGACCAGCUUCUAAGAGGGACUAUGGCCACUUAGGCCACUGACGUUUGAGGUAAUAACAGGUAUGUGAUGCCCUUGGAUGUUCUGGGCCGAACAUGCGCUACAUUGAUCUAUUCAACGAAUCUAUAGCUUUGGCCGAUAGACCUGGGUAAUCUUUGAAAUUUCAUCGUGAUGGAAAUAGAUCAUUGCAAUUAUUGCUUUUCAACGAGGAAUUCCUGGUUAUUUAUUUAUUAUUAUUAUUAUUUAUCUCUUAUUUAUGUUUGUUUA